CUUAACGCGAAGAACCUUACCAAAUCUUGACAUCCUUUGAAAACUCUAGAGAUAGAGCCUUCCCCUUCGGGGGACAAAGUGACAGGUGGUGCAUGGUUGUCGUCAGCUCGUGUCGUGAGAUGUUGGGUUAAGUCCCGCAACGAGCGCAACCCUUAAGCUUAGUUGCCAUCAUUAAGUUGGGCACUCUAGGUUGACUGCCGGUGACAAACCGGAGGAAGGUGGGGAUGACGUCAAAUCAUCAUGCCCCUUAUGAUUUGGGCUACACACGUGCUACAAUGGACAAUACAAAGGGCAGCUAAACCGCGAGGUCAUGCAAAUCCCAUAAAGUUGUUCUCAGUUCGGAUUGUAGUCUGCAACUCGACUACAUGAAGCUGGAAUCGCUAGUAAUCGUAGAUCAGCACCUAAAAAAUUC
This 412-nucleotide ribosomal RNA is filed under the name uncultured bacterium. Its description in RNAcentral is "bacterial SSU rRNA". It matches the Rfam family "Bacterial small subunit ribosomal RNA", at positions 955 to 1369 of the family's 1533-position model. The record is from RNAcentral.